UAGUUUCAUGGUAUUACCGAUAACUGCUAAAAGGAAUAAAUCAGUUAUGAAAAAGGUAUUUAAAAAUUGGCUUGCCUACCUCUCAUUAAUAUGCGUCAUCGUGACUUCCCAGGGUGAGAAUUCCAGGUCGUGACACCUCACAAAUAACCCUUUUGGCCCAAACGAUACUGACCGUAUGACUUAAUUCAACAUUACCCAAAACGAACUUGACACUUAAUCCACUCAAUUCAAACGACUUCAAAUUAAUUUAAAACAAACCUUGACUUCCGUUUUAUGUGAAAUCAGAUUGGUAAUAUAUAUUAAUUAACAAACCGAGCAAACAUGAAAAAGCAAGCUUUGUUUUGAUAUUAGACUCCCACCACAGUGAUCCAUAAACAUCUGAUUUAAGCUUAUAACAAUACAUUUGCAUAUGUAACCAACAAAAAUUUGUUUUCGACCAAAGACAUACACCCAAUUACAUUAGGUAUUAACAGAUUUGCACUAACUAAAAUGGCUGCCAUAAAACUUCAGUUUUAGGAGCAUAGCACAACCCUUUUAACCAAACACACUCCAGACCUUUAAGAAUCGAAAUGAAAAUUAACAGUUAGAAAAGAAAUAGAACUUAGGUCAGAUUUGCAUAGCAACUAAAUGAGUGAAUACAUAUCAUACUAAACAUGGAACAAAUUGUAAACCAAGUGCAUCUGAACAAAUGCGGGCAGAAGGUGUUUUUCUUGCAAAUCCAUCCAACAUAAAAAUGUAAAUGAACUUAUAGCAACUCCUCAAUGACAUAAAUGGAAGUGACAGACUACAGAUACACUAAAUGAACACAAAAUUCAUCAGGAAAACACAACUAGUAUUUAGUAUCAAGAGACUACUGCACAUCUUGAACUCCCAAUCGGUUUCAUGGCUUCAAACUCACAUGUCAUACAUUCAUGGGUCUAAGAAAGUACUUGUGACGAAAAGGAACAAGAACUAGGGAUAUCAGCAACAGGCACUAUCAGCCAGCCCAGGGUAAACAAACCAAUGAAACGGUGAAUCUCCACAACCAACCAAAACCAGCUUUAAAAUAUUCAAAUCACCCCAUCUUCAACCCCAGAUAAAUCAAAGGUAACUUCAGAAAUUUUAAACUCCCGAAUGAGAGAAGGAACUUAACUUGAACAGUGGAAAGUCUUAAAUCAACUCUAAACAAAAAGUUCAAACCAUUUGUUUUCCACCUGAAAUGUAGUUAAGGGAAGUUUCUAAGUAUUCUGCAGAAAUUUUGAUGGUUUUCUCACAUUGAAAAUGCAGGAACUUAAGAACUUAAAAUAUUCGGCCAUUUCAGCUUUUGAAUUUUUAUCUCUUCAGAGUAUACCUUCAAUGCCAAGUAAAGGUGUCUUUAUAGGCAAGGUUCUAGGGCAUAAAAAAAUCAGUUUUUGCCCAUUAAACCUUUUCAAAUUUUACUUUUUGCUACUUAAUCAUUAAAAUUUUGACUUGUUUGUUAAGCCUGUCUUUUAGCUUCCAGGAAGCUUCCUAAGUCUAUUACUGAUAGAUUCCCUAAGAAGAUUUCCUAGACUCUUGGACUAAUCCCCCUCCCUUUGCCCCAAAAAUCCAGUUCCAACACUCAAAUGGGCAGAAAAACUAGACGGGCAAAAAAGGCCGGUAGUCCUUUAGACCUUUAGACCAAAUGGUCUUAGUACAACCCAAUACUUAAAUAAAACAGCAAAUUAAACGAAAGUUAACAUGAUGAAUCCAAAUAAACUAAAGGAAAAACAAUGGCAAUUACGCCUUAACUGAACUAAAAUGUUUUUUUAAGAAAACAAAAAGGAAGAAUAAAAAACAUAGAGGUAGAUAGUAAUAACAAAAAGAAGAAAAAUGGAAAAAAAAUAAAAUCAGGCAUACCUCCCAAAACUAACGGACAACCAUCUUGAAAUCAACCUCACUGAAUCCUCAAAUUUUGACCGAGAUAGACCUUAAUUAUGUGUUCUCGACUGAGACUAAAAUCGAUUUCGACCUCAAAACCUUGCUGAUUUGGAGUUUUGAGAUUUUAGGGUUCGUCUUUUGAAAUCCAGAUCCGAGAGAUUUUGGGAGUAUUUGAAGGAAAAUAAAUGGAGAUUUGGAAUGAGGAGGUCAUGGAGCUUAUGGGGUGUAAUUUUGGUGGAGAGCAGAGGUGGCACCGCCACCCCAAAGUGGUGGAGAAAGGGGCGGAGCUAGGGUUCUAAAGGUUGUCUCUGAAGAAAGAGUGUAUGAGUGACACGACUUAGGGGGAGGGGUAGCGGAUUCAAAUAGUCUUACAUUAAUG
RNAcentral lists this long non-coding RNA (2257 nucleotides) under Nicotiana benthamiana. Its description in RNAcentral is "long non-coding RNA (NBEN_LNC005366)". Lineage: Eukaryota; Viridiplantae; Streptophyta; Magnoliopsida; Solanales; Solanaceae. The record is from RNAcentral.